Molecule: ribosomal RNA, 504 nt
Filed under: Cryptohelcostizus dichrous
Lineage: Eukaryota; Metazoa; Arthropoda; Insecta; Hymenoptera; Ichneumonidae
Description: partial 16S large subunit ribosomal RNA
Rfam family: Archaeal large subunit ribosomal RNA (bases 372-504)
Source: RNAcentral
AUAAUUUAAAGUCAAAUYUGCUCCAUGAAAAUAUUUAAAUAGCUGCAGUAUUUUGACUGUACAAAGGUAGCAUAAUCAAUAGUUUUUUAAUUAAAAGCUGGAAUGAAUGAUUUGAUAAGGUAAAUUUUGUCUCAAUUUUAAUGGUUGUAGAAUUUUUUUUUUAGUAAAAAAACUAAAAUGUUUUUAAAAGACGAGAAGACCCUAUAGAUUUUUAUAUUUUAAAUAUAAAAAAUUUAAAUAUAAUUUGUUAUUAUAUUAAAAAAUAUUUGGUUGGGGAAAUUAUUAAAUUAAAUAAAUUUUAAUUUUUAAUUAACAAUAAUGAUUGAUUUAAUGAUCUUUAUAUUAAGAUUUAUAGAUUAAAUUACCUUAGGGAUAACAGCGUAAUUUUUUUUGAUAGAUCAUAUUGAUAAAAAAGUUUGCGACCUCGAUGUUGAAUUAAGAUUAAAUUUUAAUGUAGAAGUUAAAAAUUUUUGGUCUGUUCRACCAUUAAAAUCUUACGUGAUC